UACGGAGGGUGCGAGCGUUGUUCGGAAUCACUGGGCAUAAAGGGCGCGUAGGCGGCUUGUCAAGUCAGGGGUGGAAUCCGGCAGCUCAACUGUCGAAGUGCCUUUGAUACUGACGAGCUCGAGGGAGGUAGGGGUCGCUGGAACUUCCGGUGGAGCGGUGAAAUGCGUUGAUAUCGGAAGGAACGCCGGUGGCGAAAGCGGCUCACUGGACCGAAUCUGACACUGAGGUGCGAAAGCUAGGGUAGCAAACGGG
This 253-nucleotide ribosomal RNA is filed under the name uncultured bacterium. RNAcentral describes it as "partial 16S ribosomal RNA". It matches the Rfam family "Bacterial small subunit ribosomal RNA", at positions 524 to 776 of the family's 1533-position model. The record is from RNAcentral.